Syzygium oleosum is the source of this 1395-nucleotide RNA transcript. It is a transcript of the gene named serine/arginine-rich SC35-like splicing factor SCL28, with no coding region annotated. NCBI's taxonomy places the organism in Eukaryota, Viridiplantae, Streptophyta, Magnoliopsida, Myrtales, Myrtaceae. The transcript has 7 exons. The record is from RefSeq and is a predicted model, not a curated record.
CUUCUCCCUCCAAAACUACGAAAGCCAACCCCACCUUCCUCUGCUAGGGUUAGGGUUUCUCCCACAUCGGAGACCGUCGAGCAGAGAUCCCCUGCCCAAAUCGGCGAGCGCCGCCCAUGGCGAGGUACAGGAGCAGGAGCCGCAGCUUCAGCCCCCGCCGCCGCAGCCGAUCCCCCCCGGCCCCCCGCGCCCGCAAGCGCCACGGCUACGACGAGGACCCUCGCGACCGCCGCGCUUACCACCGGGACCGCCGCUCUCCCGCUCCUUCCGGCCUCCUCCUCCGCAACCUCCCCCUCGACACCAGGGCGGAAGAUCUCAGGGUGCCGUUCGAGCGGUUCGGUCCUGUGAAGGAUGUCUACCUUCCUAAGAAUUAUUACACGGGGGAGCCUCGUGGCUUUGGAUUUGUGAAGUUCCGUUAUGCAGAAGAUGCAGCUGAGGCUAAGCAGCAAAUGAAUCAUACUGUUAUUGGAGGACGUGAGAUAAGAAUUGUUUUUGCUGAGGAGAACAGAAAAACUCCUCAUGAGAUGCGCGUGAGCGAGCGCGUGACUGAUCGUGUGAGUGGGCGACAUAGGGAAAGAAGGAGAAGUACAUCAAGAUCUCCAAGACGCCAUAAUCAUUCUUACUCAAGGUCACCAACACCAGAUAGGCAUGACUCAAGAUAUUAAAGUGAACAGGAAGAUUUUAAAGACCUAUGGGUAAAUAAAGUUAAACGAGAAAAGACAGUGAUGGACAACUCCCUUACCGUUCUGUCAAAGCUUUUCUAUAUGUUAUUAUCCCACCUUCGCCAAUUACUGUCAAGAAAGCAUGGGCUUUUGCGUACUAGGUCUGGUGGCCUGCAGUUGCAACUGAACUGAUUAGUAAAGCACUGUCAGCAGAUGAUUAAAUCACUAAAGUGCCUUUUUUUCACUAUUUGUUCUUUCUGUGUGAUCUAACAUAGUUGUUAAUGAAAAGGUUUUGAAGCUUUAUUUUGUUUUGCAUAUACCAUCCAGUUAAGAAAAGAACUAGAGCUUUUAUUUGGCCAAAGAAAGAAAUCAUCCUCAAUCAAGGGAAGCAAUACCGGUGUAGAGAUAUGAUGACAUUGUCAAAGAUAGUUUGAGGUUUUAGAAAGUUGGGCCAAAGAGAGCCAUGCAGUUGUUGGAUGCUGACGUGCCAGUACAUCGUUAAUGAGACUAAUUCCAGUAUUUGGGCCCAAGUUGGUAAUUUGUACGGAACUCUUAUAAAGGUGCAGGAGCCGUGGGGCAAAGGACCAGUAUCACUCUCCAAUGCGAUCUGGGUCUGUAUCACAUUCUCCGUCUCCUCGGGAGCACAAGGUUAAGCGGUCCAGUAAGAGGUCUCCAAGUCUGAGGGAAGAUAGUCGAAGUCCCAUUCAGGAGAGGGGUUAUCCGGCAGGCAGGU